Long non-coding RNA from Oncorhynchus tshawytscha (Chinook salmon), 253 nucleotides. NCBI's taxonomy places the organism in Eukaryota, Metazoa, Chordata, Actinopteri, Salmoniformes, Salmonidae. The record is from Ensembl.
AGAGAGAGAGAGAGAGAGAGAGAGAGAGAGGUCCAGCGAGAGAGAGAAGAAAGAGAGAGCUCGAGUUCCAGAGUCCCAGAGAGAGAAGCCUGUACUCAUUUUUCUUGCACGCGUGCCACAGCUGUGGUCGCUGUGGCGAUGUUUCACUGCUCAGAAUGGAUUCGCCAGCUCAAAAACGUUCGUAUUAUAUUUAUAUUUUACUACACCACCACUGCCUCUGCCAGCUGUGCUGUCGCUGGAAAACAGCCUGCUU